This is a long non-coding RNA of Columba livia (rock pigeon), 4962 nucleotides long. RefSeq lists it as uncharacterized. NCBI's taxonomy places the organism in Eukaryota, Metazoa, Chordata, Aves, Columbiformes, Columbidae. The record is from RefSeq and is a predicted model, not a curated record. The transcript has 2 exons.
GCUCAGUGUAACCCCCUUGCCAUUGGCUGCGAAGAGCAGUGAUUACUGACGCAUUUAAAUGGUUUGUGUCUAACACCUCAGAACGUGUACGUGCAUGCAUGUAAGAAGGAAAAGUAAGUCAAGCACUUGGAAGCCUGAGAGAGUGACACGUAAAUAAUCCAAGGAAAAAAAUGAAGCAAAGGAGAGCAUUUGAAAAAUAAUGUGUUUUGUGUAGUAUUCUUGCAAAAAAACUUGCAAAUGUGUUACUUAAAAAUUAUGGGAAUUCCAUAGUCUGCUGCGAGUGCCCAGUUUUAAAGAUCACUAGAGUUUAAAAAAACUAUUUUACAGCUGUUUUAGAUACAGAUGUCAACACAAGCUUAAACAGGUAGUUAUAACCAACAUUAUAAUAAUUCACUCCCACAGGAUCUAUCAAGAUGGCAUAGCUGGCCAUUAUCUUAAUCCUGGCAGAUCAGCCUGAUGAAUACUGGGUGUUUGAUUUCCUACAACUCUGUCAGCACUUCUGGUUAGUAGAUUAAAACUGCUAGAUAAUGCACUAAUUGCAUGUAAGCCAAAAAGAAAAAAGUUUGCUGGAGCUUCAAGUCCCUCAUGCAGAAAGCUGGAAUACUUCCCCAAAUAGAAAUUCUAUAAACAAGAAAAUGGCAAUUUGAUAGGUUUAGACUUUUUAAGAAGUUUAUCCAAUAGUUACCCAUGGCAAAGUACUGAAGAAGCAUCUACUGUUUCCAAUCUGGUAUUUUUUGAAUUCAUUUUGCUGCUUUUGGAGAUCACAAUCCUUUCUAAAGAUUUCUCCUGUAGAAGAGAACGUAGUAAAUGGCAACAUUUCACCAGGUUUGUGGGUAUGUAGGAAAACUGGUGUUUCUUGGGGCAGGAGGAGGGUCCUCUUUGUAAGAGGUAAUGCUGAUAUCUCUGUUGGUGGCAAUUACACACAGCUUGGGGUACCUUGGUAAAACAUCCCUUUAUGUGCUAAAGAAGAGAGAGUUUCAACAUUCAUCCAACACUCAUUUCUAGCCAUUUCAGAAUAUGCUACCUUGUGUUUUCAUUUUAUUUAUUGACUUCCUGUUAUUUUAUAGUAAGGUGUAUUUGCACUCUAGUGGAAAAAUUUCUCUAUAAUAAAUAGAACUUGGUACAGCAAAUAAUUUUACUUCUUUUUCUUCUUGCAGGUCGCCCACUGAGAUCUAAGCAUUUUCUCUUUGUUAAAAAUACUCUAUUCUACUCUACUCUAGGAAUAAGAGCCCCACCUUGCCCUUCAGGAAUCCAGAGAGCUUCCCAAGAACGAUCCCUCGCUCUGGCCUAGAUUUCGGCCUCUUCUAUAGCAUUUUACAGUAGAAGCUUGUCGGAGCCAAUCUUGUCUGGUGCACAGAGUUUGACUGAACGAAGAAAUGAAACUCUUGGAUGAAGUCUGGACUUAAGUUACACCUUUUAUUACAGUAGCUCUUUUGCUUGGUCUACACAGUUCAGCAAGUUUGGUGCUCUACCCAACACAGACAGACACCAAAGGCUCUCUGUGUUCCCUACAGCAGGAGACAGAGAACAAAAUCAAAAGCGUCGUUUCAGUUACCGUACAAGAUGACAGGGUAGAAUUAGCUAAGAUAAUAUUUUCCUUUGUCUAUAUUUCCAAUUUGAUCAUGUUUUCCUCCUUCUUGGGAACGUAUUUUAUUUCUAAGUUUGUGUGGGAUCAUUUAUGAGAGAGAAGGUACAAGAUGGUUACCUUUGGCAAGAAAGGGUUUGGCUAAACGGUUCAAGCCCUAUUCUUUUAUUUCACCGGCAAACUUUUAAAUGCAUCUGAAAAGAAAUGACAACAUUCAGUGUGACAGCAGGAUUGUAUCUGUCAGCUGACAAUGCAUCUGGACAAUUCGACUUCAAAUACCAAUGCACAGCUCUAGUGCCAGUAUGGGAUUCAGAAGACCUGUCCUGUCCUCAGUUUCCUUCUUCACAAAUACUUCAUGGUAACUUCUGAUAAGUCCCUUUGUGCCUUAUUCUUCUACAAAAUUAGUGUGAAAACAUUUUUGCCUUAUACAGAUAAAUACACAUAACAUGUAUUCCAGAAAGAAGUGCAAGGACCCAGCAAAUGUCAUAGGAAGUCGUCUCCUCGGAAUCAGAGUCACUGAAAAGGAGUUGGAAACUAACAGACCACAAUCCCUACCUCUCCGACAGGGUGACUAGAAUAGGGAAUCUAACUCUUGAUUGCCCAAGCAAGUAAAUGCUGAGAAAGAAUAGAGAGGUUUAUACUUCUUCUGUGUCUGGCAAAAGCAAAAUUGAAUGUUGUCCAUAGGGUUUGUGUCUUGAAUCCAAAAAGAGUGAUGAAAAAUUGAAGUCAUUUCAUAGAAUAGACAUGAGACAUGAUUAAAGGAUUAGGAUAGCCCCCUAAUGCGGGGCUCAAGGAGUUCCACCUAUUUAGCUUAUCAAAGAGAAAGUUGAUAGGGGUACUUUACGUACCUUUCUAUGCAGUAAAAAUCCAUUUAAAAAUACAUGGCUUAGCUCUAGCAGACAAAAAUUCAAGACCUGCAAUCUUAAUUUAUAGUUACCCAUAGUGAACCAUUGAGAGGUUUACCAAGAAUUAUGGUAACUUUUCUGUUGAUAUUUGUACCAAGAUGUGAUGUUUCCCCCUUAAAAUGACAGAAUUUAGCUCAGACAGGGACUAAGUUCCAGGAAAUCUGUUCUCCAUUACACAGGAAGUCAGACUAGGAGAUCACAGAGCUCACUUUAGGCUUUCUAAUCUGUUAAUUAAAUAGUUUAUAUAAAUUUAGUUUAAUUGGUUCUAUGAUUGUUAAUAAACAGUAUUUUUAAUGUUUCAUGUUUGACUGCAGCCUCACGUAAUCUCGAAUAUUUCUUACUGCAUGUGGGUGGUAGGACUUUGUCAUCCUACCAGCACCUCCACCUUCACCCCUAAGGGCUGCAUCACGAUCUUGUUACACAACCUGCAGGGCUGAUGAUGUUGAUAUGAUGCCAACCACAGAAUUGUUGAAAGAUGAAGAGAUAGUGUUGCUGGAGAUCCCAACUAGACUGCCCUAGAAUCUGCACACAAGUUAUUUAUCAAGACCGAGUUCUGUUCUACUUUUUAAAGACUUAACUAGAAUAUACUGCUGAGAUUAUUGCAGUCUCUUUACAGACCUCUGUUGAGGAUUUAUAUGUUGUAUGUAUAUACAUGUAUAUAUAUGUUUAUAUGUAUGUAUAUACAUGUUGAGCAUGUUGUUCUAGAUUUUUUUUUUUUUUUUUUUAACAACAAAAUGUAUACUUUUCUGGGCUUUUAUCCAGUCUGAGGCUCGUAUUUAAAAUUUAGUUCUCACUUAUUCUUUUAGCUGUAUUUUGCUUGGUAAUCCUGGGAACAAACUGGCACCCUGACAAGGACCAACAUCACCGCAUCCAUUGGCAGUGCUGCUGUUUCUCUGGUCACCCCUCCAGCUCUGUGGAGAGCAGCCUGUCCUUGACACCAUCUCAGGAGGAAGCAGUCCACAUAUUUUGGGGCAUAAUUAUUUCCUUUCCUUUGGGCUCAAGAUCUUUCAGUCUAUUACGCCUGUUGGCAGAAAGUAAAUAAGGUAACUUUGUUUUUUCAGGCGAGAUAUCAAUCUGCUACUUGCUGUAGUUCUAGAUAUUAUCCUGCCCUAGGGAGAGGCAGGCACUCCACAACUCUCUGCAGUUCUAAACUCUUUGAAAAGUGCUGUCCCCUUCAUGUUUGCCCUCAUCAACUGUUUCAGUUUUUCUCAUUUCAAAAAGCAAACUGCAGCAGAUAACCCUCUUCACUCUUUUUGUUGUCCCAGAUUUUGACGCCAGCUAAUCUUCUGUUAGCUUCCUGAACCAUCUGGCCCUUAAAUACUUAUGUUUUCAAGGUUUUUUAGCAGUUGCUACCUUAAACUUCAAUGCUGCUGGAUGUUCAUGUGUAUUCUCAAACCAAGCUUCCACCCACUGUGAUUUGGAAAAGUCCUUUACAUAUGUAUGACACCAUCAGGGGACUGCAUGGCAGAAACCAAACUACUUACUUAGAGUAAAAAGCAUUUCAAUAGGUUUUAAGAAAAUCUUUGUAAAGGCUUAGCAUGAAGGCAGGAUAAUCUUGUGACUAAUAAUAUAUUAAACUCGUAAAAUUUGUUGAGCAGCAGAACUUGCUAUGGUCUACCAUAAGGAAGGAAAUGAAUGGUUUGAGUCUGUUAAUAGUAAAGACUCUUUAUCCCUCCACCCAUAGGCAUACAUACAUCUUACUUGUACUACUACUACACAUCCUAGACCAAACAUGAGAACUGUAAUACUUUAGGGAGCUAAACAUGUAAAACUCCCACAACAGAAUCAGGUUCUGGGAAGGAGCUGGCUAAUGAACAAUAAAUAAUAUCAGAAGACUAUGUACUUAAUAAAAAGGAUUAAAAAACAGCAAAAAAUCUAACCCUUAUCUGAGAAAGCUGUUGAUUUUGUACACUAGAUGAACGAUGGUCCAGUUGUAAAGGCUAGCCAUACACCAGCCAAACCAAAGUUGCCCAGGCAAAUGUAGUUCUGUAUUUCCUCACUUUUGAAUGCUUUAUUUUACAGCAUUAGAGCUCUUCAGUUUAAAGUUUCUCUGUAUAUGUUGUAUCUUCAUACAUCCGCAUACAAGACUUAAUGGAAUCCUUUUCAAUGUUAAGCCAUCUGGGACAUGGUGCUAUGGAAGUUGGGAGUAAAAGGAAUUCAAAUACCUGUUCUGGUAAAAGUACAGUCCAAGAGUUGUUUCUUAAUAAGCCUGAAGAAGAAAAAACCCCACAGAAUUGGAGUUAAGAUAAUCCGUGGCAUCUGAUACCUGCAGUGGAGGGAAAUGGUUGAGCUGCAUAGAAGCCGAUGACUCAGUGGAGUCAGGGGCACCUGCACUGACAACCUCCUGGGAGUAUCCAAAACAGAAAUUAAAACCUGUAACAAAUCUGAAACUGUAUCAACAAUGAAAAAAAUAGUAUGUCUUUUUUCUUUAACUACAGAAAUAUGAGUUCUAAUUGAGAAUAUCAGCAAAAA